This is a long non-coding RNA of Dermochelys coriacea (leatherback sea turtle), 806 nucleotides long. RefSeq lists it as uncharacterized. The record is from RefSeq and is a predicted model, not a curated record. NCBI's taxonomy places the organism in Eukaryota, Metazoa, Chordata, Testudines, Dermochelyidae. The transcript is spliced from 3 exons.
UUAUGCUCUGAUAAAUUUGUUAGUCUCUAAGGUGCCACAAGUACUCCUUUUCUUUUUGCGAAUACAGACUAACAUGGCUGCUACUCUGAAUGCUAAGAAAGAACACUUACAAACCAAAAGCUCAGUUUGGACUUAUUAGUGGGUCUGUCAUACUCCUCAGUAUUGGUAAGUUUACUAGCAAAUAGAGAAAUAAGGCACUAAGUUUAUAGAAAUUGCAGUGUUUCUUCUAAACAAUAGUAAUUCACUUCUGGAGUCGGUCUCUUGGUGUAUCUGGCAGACUGUGUCCAUCCUGCUUGAUAGGCAUUAGGAGCAGAGUAAUUGCUUCAGUAUCUGGCUCUCGAUCCAAAUCCCACUGAAGCCCAUGGAAAGAUUCCCAUUCAGCGGGAGUUAGACCGGCUCUCUGAAAAUUUUCAACAGUUGCAAACAUGUGCACCUGGAAUUAACUGGACAAUUUUUCCCUCUGAGAAACAAUGAAGUUGAGCAUUCUUAAAAUACUAAAUAAAUCUCAUCAGGGUUUUUGUUUGUGGGUUUUGUUUUUUUUCCAUGAAUAGAGUUGAGAAGUUCAUGCCCACAUGUGAAAGAUUACAAUAAGCACAUUUAACAGGAUGGAUGGAAAGAGGAUGUUACUUUUGCUGUCACUGAAAUCAGUAAGUUUUUGAGUGGUAACACAUAUAUUGAGUGUGUUGCUCAGGGUUUAGCUGAUCGCCAUAUUUGGGGUCGGGAAGGAAUUUUCCUCCAGGGCAGAUUGGAGAAGCCCUGGAGGUUUUUCGCCUUCCUGUGUAGCAUGGGGCAUGGGUGACUUGAGG